This 407-nucleotide ribosomal RNA is filed under the name uncultured bacterium. RNAcentral describes it as "partial 16S ribosomal RNA". It matches the Rfam family "Bacterial small subunit ribosomal RNA", at positions 30 to 526 of the family's 1533-position model. The record is from RNAcentral.
AUUGAACGCUGGCGGCAGGCCUAACACAUGCAAGUCGGGCGGAGCGGCGGACGGGUGAGUAAUGUAUGGGGAUCUGCCUGAUGGAGGGGGAUAACUACUGGAAACGGUAGCUAAUACCGCAUACUAUCAGAUGAACCCAUAUGGGUUUAGCUUGUAGGUGAGGUAAAGGCCUACCAAGGCGACGAUCCGUAACUGGUCAGAGAGGAUGAUCAGUCACACUGGAACUGAGAACCGGUCCAAACUCCUACGGGAGGCAGCAGUGGGGAAUAUUGGACGAUGGGCGAAGGCCUGAUCCGGCCAUGCCGCGUGUGUGAAGAAGGUCUUCGGAUUGUAAAGCACUUUAAGUUGGAAGGCGUUACCAACAGAAUAAGCACCGGCUAACUUCGUGCCAGCCGCCGCGGUAAUAC